Molecule: small RNA, 117 nt
Filed under: Staphylococcus aureus
Lineage: Bacteria; Bacillati; Bacillota; Bacilli; Caryophanales; Staphylococcaceae
Description: HMPRFS0000_2773
Source: RNAcentral
UGCUUUUACUGUUUUCACCUCAACUAAAACUUCAAAAAGUUGCAGAAAACAAAUCGUAACUAUUACGAUUUGAUUAUAUACUAUAUUAGUUGAGAAUCAUUGUCAAUAAAGGUUGUA